Molecule: long non-coding RNA, 3387 nt
Organism: Micropterus salmoides (largemouth bass)
Lineage: Eukaryota; Metazoa; Chordata; Actinopteri; Centrarchiformes; Centrarchidae
Exons: 3
Source: RefSeq, a predicted model, not a curated record
GGAAGCUUGGGUUGAUCAUGGCUGCAGGGUGAGCAUGGGGAAGAACUUUCUGUUGACCGUUACCAUCGUCGUCAUCAUUACUAACAUCUUUCACUGAUGUCUCUGAGGUACCUUUUGCACUGCUUACAACAUGCAUCACUCAAAAGACACAGGAGGUGACAGUGAAGCCUGGAGAGGACGCCACUCUUCCCUGUCGGGGUCACAGAGGUGCUGACAUAGUAGUGAUAAAGUGGAUCAGACCUGACCCGAAGUCAGGUGAUGGUUUUGUCUUCUUCUUCAGAGACGGCCGCUCAUAUGAAAACUACCAGCAUGAAUCUUUUUGUGGUCGAGUGGAGCUGAGAGAUCCAGAGAUGAAGGACGGAGACGCUUCUGUGAUUCUGAAGAACGUCAACAUCAACGACACUGGAACAUAUGAGUGUCGGAUUAGAGAGGAAAAUGUAUCUGUACUCACCGGCAUCGUCAGGCUGACAGUGACAGAGCCAGGUCACACAGCUGGACACAAGGAGGAAGGAGACAAGGAGGGAGGAGGCAAGGAGGGAGGAAACAAGGAGGGAAAUGUUGGACUGAGAGUCGGUCUGCCAGUUUGUGUGAUUCUUCUUCUUCUUCUUGGUGUUGGUGGUUUUGUGAUCUUUAAAAAAUAUAACAGACCCAAAGGGAAUCAACAACCUGCUAUAAACAGACAUGAACUGCAGAACCUGCAGUGAGAUUAAGAGACCAGAGGCAGCAGAUGAGAAUUAGUGAGGAUCCAGACUGAAGUCACUCUGGUUACUGUGGGGAGCAGUGAUUGGUCGUUACUCUCUGGCUGCUGAUUGGUGGACUGAACGUGCUGCUGGACAGAAGAAACACAUUCCUCCUGUAAAAUAAACCUGAGCUGUUGACACACGUCUGAUUUCACCUGGAGGCAGGUUAAUGCCAGAUGGGCUGACUGACCAGCUGCUCUGUGGGACAAACAAUAUGACCUGAUGCUGGAACAGCCAGCUGAUUGUUAAUUACAGGAAGUGGUACAGACCGUCGGCACCUCCCCCCACCCCUUCAAGUGGAUCCAUCCAUCCAGGUAGAGUCAGAGGUCAAAUCAAAUUAAACGGGUAAAAGACCGAGAGAGAGAAAAAGCUCCAAAUGUUUUAAAUCAACAGUUACUGAUGUCAGUGCCGCUCAACAUCCUGCUAGCUGCAGUUAUAACACUAACAGUCUGUUCUGGAUGACGGAGCUGGACUUUGUUCCCAGUCCGACCCUGAAGAGCUCAGUCCCUGUUGUUCACUCACCGACCUGCAUCAGAGGGGAAAAGAUCCUGUUUGGAUUCACUGCAGCUCUGUUUUCCUGCAUGAGGACAUUUUUCAUCGUCUUCUCUGAGAGCUGCUCAGGAACUCUGACUGUGAAAUGUUCUUAGACAACGAUACAGAUAAUUAAUACUUCAAGUACAUUUUCCUGAUUGUUCUCUUUCUCUUGGACUUUUACUUCAGUAACAUUUUCAAUGCAGGACUUGUAUUUAUUUAGUAGUGUGUUAUGGGUACUUUUACUUUAGUUUCUGUAUACUUGAUCCACAACUGCUUUUCUCAGUCUGUAACAAAAGGAAACAAAUGAUCUUGGUUAUUUCUCCUGUAACCAACUUUCUGAUGCUGAACUGAUCUCUGCUGCAGAGACAUGAGGCUGUGAUGUGUCUGUUUCUGGCAGCGUCCACUGUUGGCAGAUAUUUCUGUAUCUUUGACUUUAAACACAAUAUAAAACUAAAGUCAAAAUGUUACUUGAGUCAGAGUACAGAUCCAUGAUGUUGGUAAAACUGUAUCUAUGUGUUGAAUGUAGGUAUGUAGAAUCUUAAUCCACAGAGUACGUGCAUGUUUUUAUUUCACACAAUCAGAGCUGUUGAUCCUGUUAAUGUUGCUUGGAGCUGGAAUCAAAAGCAGCUCAACCAAAACCCUCCUGAGCUUCCAGGCAGCCGUCCGGCUAUCAGGUUACAGACAGCGAGCGUUAUGUCCUCAUUUUAAAACCAUGAAGCUGACAGUCCAGUCUGACUCUUUAUUUACAUUCUAACAGACUUUAAAUCAGUUAUUUGUUGACCUUUGAGCAGCUUCCUGCCUUUAGAGCAGACGUGACCAAAAGUCAGUAAAGUCAAUAAAACAGGAUUAUGAACUUUCUUUAACUGUAACUUUGUAGCUGAGAACUGAAAGUGAACUCUGAAGGCUCUAAAUGUCUGGACCUGUUUGUAAACAGAUAAUAACAUGGAGGAACUUUUAGAGGGCAGAGUUUGCUAUGAAGCAGCUCUGAGCUCAUUUUGUCUUCACCCCCCCCCCUCUUAGUCAGGAUGUGAGAUCAGUUCUUCCUCAUUACUGUUGGCUGGUAGAAACUGACUGCUGCUCUUUUAUUCAGGGUUUAAUGUUCUCCAGUGCUGUGCCGGCGUUUUAUAUUCGACAAUAUGUAAUUAUAAUAAUAAUAAUAAUAAAUGUAAUAUAAUAAUAUAAUAAUAAACAGUGAUAAGAGUGUGCAUUGCAAAGUUUUUAGGCAAAAUGAACUUAAAUGAACUUAUCACACGCCUCUGGAGCAACUAGAGGUUAAGUGUCCUGCUCAGGGACACAUUGGUGGAUGUGUCACAGUGGGGGAUUGAACAUUAAAGGCAUGUGUCUUAUCCACUGCUCCACCACCACCCAGUACAGCAGCUGUUAACACGGAGGCUUUUCUUCCUCUGAUGAUCAGUCAGAGCUCAGUCUCUACACAGCAGCUGCAUGUGAACUCCUCCGUCACUGUAAACUGUCUGUGGUAAAUAUUUUAGUUUGUGUUCUUGAUUUUUUUCUCACAUACGCAGUGAACAGACACCACAGGGAGGACGAUCCUGUAAGAUACAGUUAGACUUUUAACUGGAAAGAAACUCUCCCAUCCUGUUCCUGUUAAUGUGCAGUCAUAGUCUGGAGCUUUUCUUCUUUGUCUUUAGAGACAUUUUCUUCAGACUUUUAUACAAAUACUGCACCUCAUGAAAUGAGCCAUUAAACUACAUUUUCAAAACUAGAAAGACCUCUCUAUGUCUCCUCAAGUAAAGUCAUCACAUCAGCUGAGAACGAUAAAGAAAUAAACCCUAUCACUGGUGCUUUUCACUCUGCUGGCUUUGACUCUGUUUUGCUGUUGCUCUCAUCUCUGCUGUCUCAUGUUCACCAUGUCAGAGCUGGUACUGGGGCCGCCGAGCUCCAUUUGACAAACCUAUUCAAAUAAAAGCAUUAAAGUACUUUAAGUACCCAAAUGUCCACUGCUGGUCACUUCCUGUCAGCACAACUCCAUCUCUUAGGGAACUUCCACCCCUACUAACCACACUAGCUCCACCUUAUAGCUCCCCCAGCGGUGACUUGCUAAGAGAUGAUGCAAUACCUGCAUUACAUUUAAAUAAACUUGUUCUUACUGCCA